RNAcentral lists this long non-coding RNA (3464 nucleotides) under Homo sapiens (human). Its description in RNAcentral is "HSALNT0324751". The record is from RNAcentral. Lineage: Eukaryota; Metazoa; Chordata; Mammalia; Primates; Hominidae.
GCGUGUUUUACCGUAUUUUGAAAUCUCUUUAUUGAACAUUGUUUUAAACAGUAAUAAUAAUACAUUUGGGGUUUAUAAGUAGAAGCAAAAUGUCUGCUAACAAUAGCACAAGGGCUGGGAGGUGGGAAAUGGAACCAGGCAGUUGUAAGAUUAUUAAAUUACAUGGGAAGUGAUGCCAUAUUAUUUGUUAUUCUUGGGUAUUCUUGAUAAGUUAAUGCUGUGUAUUGUCAACUCCAGAGCAACCAUUUAUAAAAACAAACAUGAUUCAUACACCACUUACAAAGCUAACAAAAAUGUAAUAUAAACCCAUGCACACUGUGUUCCAGCAGAACUUCAAAACAAUUCUUAAAUGAUGACUUGGUGGGAAUUAGUUACUAGAAUUUUCCUUCAUGGCCUUGCAGACCGAGGACUUCCGCCAGCUUUCGCAUGGGAGAGCGUCCUGGCACGGGGUGUCUUUGACGUGGGCAGACUGAGGACUUCAGCCAGCUUUCAAAUGGGAGAGCGUCCUGGCACGGGGUGUCGUUGACGUGGGCAGACCGAGGACUUCAGCCAGCUUUCACAUGGGAGAGCGUCCUGGCACGGGGCGUCGUUGAUGUGGGCCAUGAGUUUGCACCUUUUCAGAUGGUGGGAAGCCACUCACAAGUGACAGAGGGUGUCACAUGAUACACAAAACCGAAAGGAAGCCCUAAUCCCGGCAGGAAAGGUCUGUGUGAGGAUUCACCAAGAGUGGACGUCCAGGAGUGUGUGACGCCGGAGCCGGUGUGCCCCACGCAUGUGUAGGUGCUCACAGGCACACGCCUGCACGGAGGGCUGUCUGUCCAGGCCACUGCUGUGUGGUGGCCUCACUGCUGCCUUCCUUAAUGGCUGAUAACACUAAACUCUUUGAUGUAUCCAAUUCCCUGCUUUAUUUUAACUCAGAUUAUUCCUUACUGUGCCUUUGGCCAUCAAAUAUUGACUGCAUGAUAACAUUGUACUUUGUUUCUGUUGUCAGUGCAUGACGUUUUCCACUCUCUAGGGAGUUCCACUGCCAAGAGAACACAACUCAUCACCAGAGGAGACAGGAUCGGGGAGGAGGCGGCCAGGCCAGCCCUGGCCCCGGCCACAGGAACACUGGCGUCCCCUGGCUGGGAAAGGACAAGAUACACCGAGUUUUCCUGUGUGUUCAGGUGUUUGUUCCGAGGGUGCGUUAGUGGACGAAUUCCUCCACCUGUGCAUCUGGAGACCUGGGGAUGUCUAUGCUCUUUGCCCCCUGCCAGGGUUGAGCAUGUGAUCAUAUCUCCAGCGGACGACACCAAAAGAAUGUCUGUGACCUCGUCCCCUGGCGACCACGUCUACAGUGACUGAGUGCUGCCGUGGCUGGAAAGCCAGGGUCUGCAUCUCCCAGGACCUCAGGACCUGUGAUGAGGGGAUCCAGAGUGCGAGGAUAUCCAGAGAGCUGGAAUGAGGAUUUUGCUGAGCUGAGGGCUAAGCUUGAAGCAGAAGAAACCACAGUAAAAACACUGGUCAAUGUAUGGUAAUUUUAAAGUCAUCUACUUCCUAUACAUGUGAUUGUUGGCCAGGGCAUUUAUGAUUUAUGUUAUAUUUUAUUUUCCUAUGGUCUUAAGUUGUUGGUUAUACUCUAGAACUUUGCAUACAUGCAGUUGUUGGCUGGGACAUUUAUGAUUUAUCUUGUAUUUUACAAUUGUCUUAAGUUGUUGGUUAUCCUCUAGAACUUCCUGUACAUGUAGGGUUGGCCGGGCCACUCAUGAUUUAUGUUGUAUUUUAUUUUGCUAUGAUCUUAAGUUGUUGGUUUUCCUCUAGAACUUCUUGUACAUGUAAUUGUUGGCCAGGGAAUUUAUGAUUUACAUUGUGUUUUAUUUUAUUAUGAUCAUAAGUUGUUGGUUUUCCUCUAGAACUUCCCAUACAUAAUUCUUGGCCAGGGCAUUUAUGACGUAUGUUGUGUUUUAUUUUGCAAUGGUCUUAAGUUGUUGUUGUUGUUGUUUUCUAGAACUUUAGUGCAUUUCACAGUAACAUAUUUUAGUGGAUGGUGAGGUAAGGGCCCAAACCCCCCAAAACAAAUUGUAAAUUCCAGUAAAAACUAUUACCCAGUAGUUGGCAUGGAAAAGUUUGGUGGCUCCUUACAAAGUUAAAUGUAGAACUACCGUAUCACACAGAAACUCCACUCCUAGGCAUAUAUGUCCGGAAGAAUUGUGGGCAGAGGCUGGAACAGAUAAUUGUACAGGAAAGUCAUAACAACAUCAUUCACCAUAACCAAAAAGCAGAAGCAACCAUGCCCAUGGAGAGGUGAAUGGGUAAGCCCAACGUGGUCUGUCCAUACAAGGGAAUGCUUUCAGCCUCAACAAGGGAUGGAGUUUUCAUACACGCUGCAACCAGGAUGGACCUGCAAAACACAUGAAGUGCAGUAAGCCAGACACAGAAGGACAGAUAUGACAUGUCUCCAUGGACACGGAAUACUUAGAACAGGCAAUUUCACAGACAGAAGGUAGAGUGGAGACACUCAAGGCUGGGGAAUGGGAUGGAGGGGGUGUUGUUAUUGGAGGUGCCGAGCUUAUGUUGGGGAUGGUGAAGAAGUUUUGGGGAUAGCAGUGGUGAGGGCUACACAAAUUGUGAAUAGAUGAUUUAAUGCUCCUUCAUCGUCUGCUGAAAAACGGCUACAACGGCAAGCAUUCUAUUCUCUAUGCUUUACCAUAGCAAAAAAAAAAAAAUGAAUACCUAGUAGGAACUUUAUGCGGUUAUUUUGAAACAUGGGUCAGAUUCUACAUUUACUCUCCAAGAUCACAACGAUAAGUGUUUUGUGAAUGGUGGAGCCAGUGAUGCAGAGAGGACGGCCGACACUGCCCCCCAGGGGCUCUGAGCCCCUGUCUCCUCACCUGUGAAGCAGACGCAAGUUACUUGGAAGUAUUUUCAAGCACGAACGUGCAUGACGGGUAAAAUAUCUAGACCGCAUCACUGCGCAGCCACUAGUCAGUGCUUCCUAGGAGUCAAGUUUGUAGUGUGAACUUGAUACAUACGGACACAAGUUUCUGUCCUGAAGCUUGCAGUCACUCUGGGAGGUGGUGGAUGGUAUUACUGGGCCCGUUUUUCAUUGGGGAAACUGAGGCUCCAACACUGAAAUAAUUCACUUCACCUGGAGUUGAGCCAAGAUUCUCUUUACUCCAAAGCCAGCACUCCUUCUGAGAACAGGACUUUGAUUUGGAUGGACGGAUGUUGCUGGGGGCCUCAGCACAGGGUCUUUGGGCUCACAGCUGGACAUGCAGCUGUUCAGCGGCAGCUGCGGUCUGUCCACCCAGGCGGAGACUGGAUGCAACAGUUUCAGGCGGGGUUCCUCCCUCCCCAGGUGCCUGCCCACCUCUCCCUUACAUGGGAUGUCUCUCUUCUUCCUCCUUGCCUGGUCCCUAAAGCACUUGAGUUUGUGGUUCAUUUUUUAAAAAAUGAUAUAUUUUAUUUAACCCAGUAUAUUAAAA